GGUCAAGUUACAAAGGGCUAACGGUGGAUACCUAGGCACGCUGAGGCGAAGAAGGACGCGGUGACCGGCGAAACGCUCCGGGGAGCUGGAAACAAGCAUCGAUCCGGAGGUGUCCGAAUGGGGCAACCCCAAGAACGGCCGUCUGAAUCUAUAGGGCGGCACGAGCCAACCGAGCGAACUGAAACAUCUUAGUAGCUCGAGGAAAAAGAAAGCAAAAGCGAUUNCCCUUAGUAGCGGCGAGCGAAAACGGGACGAGCC
RNAcentral lists this ribosomal RNA (258 nucleotides) under Leptolyngbya valderiana BDU 20041. RNAcentral's name for it is "partial 23S ribosomal RNA". It matches the Rfam family "Bacterial large subunit ribosomal RNA", at positions 1 to 269 of the family's 2925-position model. The record is from RNAcentral. Lineage: Bacteria; Bacillati; Cyanobacteriota; Cyanophyceae; Leptolyngbyales; Leptolyngbyaceae.